UGAUUGCUCUUACCAAGUAUUUUUAAAAUCUUUAUCUUUUUGUUCUAUUGAUCAGAUGACUCUGAAGCUGUGAAAUAUAAAUCAGAGAGAAAGGAGCUCUAAGAAGGAUAUCAUUUAAGCUCCAGAGAUGCUUCAUGAGAUACGCAGCACUACUGUAGAAUUCAAGUCAGCUCACACUUGGAUACUCAAAUCUAGAAAGUCUUCACAAUGAGCUUUAUCAAUGCUACUGCUGUGCACUCUGCUGUGACUUUGCCUGACUACACCUUAACCUCUCUGUCAUGUAAAAUGAGGUAAGCUAUACUUCCAUAAAUUUUGCAGCUUGCCUGAGACAUUCACUUUAAAAUUUCUAUUCAAAAUUCUCUUAUUAUUUCUGAAUGACAGAGAUAUGAAAUGUAGCCUUUUUUAUAAUUAAUCUGAAUUUCUUGUUUAAUUAAUUGCAGUAUUUACACUUCUAAUUUGUCCCCAGUCAGAAAAUCAGUUUAUUCUGGUGCAUUGGGCAGCAGUGUCCAAUACUAAAACAUACAAACUGUUGCAGGCCUGAUUUCUAUUAUUAAAAAUGGCUAAUUUUGAGGCACUUGCACAUGUUCAUGGCUCUUGUGUCGUAUGAAUGUGCAAUGAGAAGAUGUGUAGGU
This 632-nucleotide long non-coding RNA is filed under the name Cyanistes caeruleus (blue tit). Its description in RNAcentral is "lncRNA (ENSCCEG00000012473.1)". The record is from RNAcentral. Lineage: Eukaryota; Metazoa; Chordata; Aves; Passeriformes; Paridae.